RNAcentral lists this long non-coding RNA (134 nucleotides) under Danio rerio (zebrafish). Its description in RNAcentral is "lncRNA si:ch211-280a23.3 (ENSDARG00000098815.2)". The record is from RNAcentral. Lineage: Eukaryota; Metazoa; Chordata; Actinopteri; Cypriniformes; Danionidae.
GGAUGCUUUUGUUACGGCACAUGGCGAGAAGAAGACUGGGCUGUCAUCUCCAGCGAAGCGUCCUCCGCAAACGCACGUCUGCGCUGAAUAACUGUGGGGAGAAGAGCAUUGACAACAUCUGCCGGUGGUUGUGG